RNAcentral lists this long non-coding RNA (28278 nucleotides) under Vitis vinifera (wine grape). Its description in RNAcentral is "long non-coding RNA (VVIN_LNC001421)". Lineage: Eukaryota; Viridiplantae; Streptophyta; Magnoliopsida; Vitales; Vitaceae. The record is from RNAcentral.
ACAAGUAUAGUAAAUCUUAAGAAUUUUCUAGGCUUUCAUAAAAAAAGAAAAAAAAGAAAAAACAAAACAAAACAAAAAAUCAAGACUUUUAGUAGCAUGAAUAAAACUCAAAAGAUCUCAAACCUAAAGAGAAACCAAUCUUCUAAGGAUGAAAUUAACCUUUACUAAAAAUAACCAUCAAUUUACAAAUAUAAUAACAAAGAAAUUUAAAACCUAAGAAUUAAUAGUCUUUCAAAGAUGAGAAUUUUAAUAACAUAGCACAGUCAAAGACAUGCAUAAUAACAAGAAAAAAAAAAAAAAACUAAGAACUACCCAAUUUUUAAAGAUGUGAACUUUAAAUAUAAUAGAUAAAAACCUAAUAACACAAAAACUGAAACAAAAAAAAUUAAGUACUAAAACUAUUCAACUUUGCAAGAUCAAAUUUUGAUAGCAUGGAAAACAACCUAAUAACUCAAAACCUAAAACAAAAAUAUUAAGCACUACAAUUAUCCGACUUUGCAAGAUAAGACAUCAUUACAUUGAAUCAAUCAAACUAAUUAAUUAAAACUAUAAAAGUUCUUAAUGAUCUUGAAUGAAUUAAACUAAAAUAACACAAGCUUCAAAAUAAAAAUUUUGUUCCAUGAAACAAUUAAUCAAGUGAACUAUAAUGAAAAAUUCUGAACUAACUAAAAUGAAUUAAGAUAAAUCAAGACAAGUUUGAAAAUAACAACUUCAUCACAUAGAAGCCAAUUUACUAAAAAUGUAAGGAAUACUCAAACUAAAAGUGUGGGAUCAAACCAAAUCAAAGCAUGAACUACAACACAAUGAAUCGGUUAAAUUACUGAUCACAAAUUAUAACUCAACCUAAACUAAUAGAAUAAAUUAAAUUAAACUAAAAUGAGAAUUUAAAAAGAAAACUUACCUUCAACCAUGUAAAAUGAGCGAUUGUUAGGACGCUAUUAAUCCUUCCAAUAUGAUGCUUUAUAUGGGUUACAUGUUCUAAAAGAAAAUCUCAAGAUGUCCUCAAAGUGGCAUCUGCUUGUCAUAGUUUUUUGUUGCCCUCCAAAUUUGAUUAAAAUGUGUGGAUGUCUCCACAAAAUUUGGUAGUGCCAUAUUCUCAAAGUGACAACCUCUUUUUUUUUUUUUUUCAAAAAAAAAAAAAAAACUGAUUUGUAGUGGAUGUUCAAAGUGGUAGCCUCAUCCUCUUAAAAAAAAAAUAAAAUCUGAUGCAUGCUGAAGCUAUCUCCAAGUGGCAACCUGUGGAGAUUCCAAGUGAUUAUAGCCUGUGGAGAUGUCCUUCCUUGCAACCCGCUUUAAUCUUUCCACCAAAUUCUUAAACCACAUGUUCAUGCCCAUAUUCCAUUUAAAUAAUCCAGCCACCAUCUUCCACUAUGCAACAUACUUUAUCCAUUAAUUUUCAAUGAACUCUCAAACACCGUAUAUUCACUAUAUGCAACCAUUUCAUCCAUCGAAUUUUAAUAAAAAAAUUCAACCAUGCACACACAUAUCCAACCACUUUAUGCCUUAAUUUAAUUCAUAAAAUUACCUUAUAAGAAGCCACUUUAUGCCUUAAUUUAAUUCAUAAAAUUCAGCUUCACAUUUCCACUAACACAUCUCCAUCGAAUUCAUAUUUUUACCAAUGAAAAUUCAUGCACCUCACAUCUCCAUUAACAUGGUUGCCACUCCAUUUCUCCACUAACACAUACUAAAUCCAUUAAACCCUUGUAUUGACAUCAAUAAAUUCUCUCGACUACACUCAAACUUCCUUCUAAAGCAAUUCAAUAUUUAGAAAUAAAUAAAAAAUAAAAUAAAAAAAAGACUUGAUGGUGUGUGUUGAUGAUUAUUGAUGGUGCAUGCUGAAUAUUGAUCCUAAAAUCUAGAGACGUCGGGUUGAUCUGAGAGAAGGUGCGCUGUUGAUGAAUUCCUCCAAAAACAGAUAGGUGAUGAUUUCCAGUGGCUGUCUUUCCUGAAAAUGUUCUGGUCAUUUCUUUUCUUGUUUAUACCUUUUCUUUUUUCUUCUUCUCCCUACUCAAAAUCAGAACCCUUUCCCUUUAUCAGAUUAUUUUGUCCUAAAAAUAGCCCUUCCAUAUAUUUUCUUUCAAAAUCCUUUGUUUUCCCAUGCAGAACCCUUUGAAACUCCCACCUCCACUCUUUUCGAAUCCUCUUUCCCAUUUUCUGUCCCCACACCUUUUCAAAUUCUGGUGGAUCAUACUUCCUCAUCUCCAUGUGCCCUAGUCUUUUCCUUUUACUUGUUGCAUGGGUAUCCAUAACAUGUGUCACGUCCCAAGACCCACUCCAAGGGCGUGACGAUCAUUUCACACCUCAAACCCGAAGGCUUAAAGUAUAAUCUGACCCAAACAAUCAUAUUGUAACUGGAUGUUACCAAUUACCAAAUACCUGUUCAGAGUAGCGGAACAAAAUCUAAAAUCCUCAAAAUUCAAUUUCCAAAUAACUUCCAAAUAUCAAAUGAUCCAAAUGAACAUAACUAACAGUUAAACAAAAUCCAACAUAAAAUCCUAAGUCAAAUCCUAAUGAUGACCAUUCUUCAGCCUAGCCAUCACUCCUCACCCGAACUAAGAGUACCUGAAAAUUUUCAACAAUUGAGAAUGAGCUCACAGCCCAAUAAGGAAUAUUAAUGCAAUUCAUGGAUCAAAUAUUUUCAUUUCAAAUAGGAGAUAUCAAUUUUUUUUUCUCAUCAAAUAUCAGAGUUCCAAAAAUACUAAUAUAUUCAAAAUUCAACCAACCAAUUUCAUAUCAAAUUCAAACACUUUCACAUAAGAUUCAAUCAAAUUCAUUCAAGUUUCAUUACUCUGGUUAUCAAAUAUCAAAUGCCCAAUUAGGUGGGACUUUUCAAAUGGGUGGCUAGCCUCAAAUUGUUCCUGGUGGACGGAACCAAACACUACUAGUACUAGUAACCUCUAACCAAACCCCUAGAGGCUGGGGUCCAAAUCAAUUACAUUCCCACCAUGAAAUGUAAAGGUCAACUAUUAUAUCCCGUUGACAAGGGCCAAAUAAACCAGAGUGAUGUUUUCGUUCAAGUAUUCAAAUUUACACAACAUAAUAUCUCCAUAUUUUGUGUCAUAAAUAAAACAAAAUAUUCCAACAUAACAUUUAGUGCAAAACAAUUUGAUCCAUGCAUGGUAACAAAAUAUCAUUUUCUUUUCCACAAUUCAAAAUAACAUAUAAGAUAAUUUAAUUUUAUAAAUAUUACAUUAACUUCCCUUACCUCAAAAGAAGUCCUUGAAAGCUUGGGAGAAGAAUAAUUCUGAAAAAAUAUAAUCUACUCUUCACCUAAUAUAACAUAAGAGAAACAAUUAUUACUAUUUAUUUAUAAUUUAACUAAUCUAUUCCUUAUUUAAAUAAAACUAAUAAAUUUCCAAUUUGUUUCUAAUAACACAUUACUAAUUUAAUUAAAUUACAAUUUUAUUUCAUUAUAAAAUUCUAUGUAUAUAUAUAUAUAUAUAUAUAUAUAUAUAUAUAUAUAUAUAUAUAUAUAUUUUUUUUUUUGCUAAAUCUCUCAUUCUAUUUAAAAAAAAUACCAUUAUUACUAUUAUCUUAUUCAUUAAUCUAAAACUAAAUAUUAUUAUUUUAAAUUAACCAAUUCAAAAGCCACUAAACCAUUACCUAGUUGUCUCGGGUACACCAAACCCCCAAACCAAAAAGCAAGUUUUUUUUUUUUUCCAUUGCCAUCAUUAUAUUCAUUAUAUAUAUAUAUAUAUAUAUAUAUAUAUAUUAAAGGCUUCCAUUUGCUUCCAGUACACGUACGCCCCCCAUUUUAUUUAUUUUUUAUUUUUUAUUUUCUUCCUUCCUUCCUUCCAGUGCUGUGCACACGCGUUUUCCUUUUUUUUUUUUUUUUUUUUUAUUUAACCCUAACCUAAAAUCGAAAUAUUCCAAGCAAUUUUUUUUUUUUUUAAUAAAACUUAAGAUCUCCCAAAUUCCAAUACUAAAAUCAAAAUAUUAAAUUUUCACUAUUUGAUAUUAAAACGAAUUAAAAAAAUAAUCUAACCCUAAUCUAGAUUUGGGGUUUUCCAAAAAAAAAUAUAUCUAAUGCGUUUGAAAUUAAUCAAUGAAUCUAAAAUAUUAAACUAGGGGUUAGAAUCUUACCUAUAGAGAUCUGUUCUUCAACCCUGAAAUCUGACUCCAACCCUACGUUCUCUGGAAUUCUGCGAACAGGAACUCUAUUCAGAAAAAAAGGGAAAUAAUAAAAUUUCUAAUUUAUACCUAAGGUAUUUAUUCGUAAAAUUACACUUUUACCCCUCUUUCACUUUAUUAAAUUAAUUAAUUAACUAAUUAAAUUAUUAAUAACAAUUUCCUAAAUUACCCUUAAAAGAAAAUGUCUGGGCGUUACAUCCUCCCCUCCUUAACAAAAGUUUAGUCCUCUAAACUUGACAUACCUGAGUCUUGGAAUAAUUGAGGAUGUUUUUCUCUCAUCUCUUAUUCUAACUCCCAAGUAGCCUCUCGGAUACUAUGAUUGCUCCACUGGACCUUUACCAACUUGACAACAGCAUGUCGUAGUACCUUAUCCAUCACAUCCACAAUUUGAACGGGUACCUCUUCAUAGGUCAAGUCCUCAAAAAUUUGAAUAGGCUCCAACUCCACAACAUGAGAAGGAUCAUAAAUAUACUUCCUUAGAGUCGAAACAUGAAACACAUUAUGAACCUCAGACAGGCUUGGGGGCAAGGCUACUUUAUAUGCCAAAGUGCCUACUCUUUCUAAUAUUUCAAACGGACCCACAAAACGAGGACUAAGUUUUCCUUUUCUCCCAAAUCUCAUCACAGACUUCAUAGGUGAAACUUUCAAGAACACAUGAUCACCCACCUCAAACUCCAAAUCUCGCCUACGAUGAUUAGCAUAACUCUUAUGUCUACUUUGAGCUGCUUUUAAUCUUUCCUUAAUCAAAGCAACCUUUUCAACAGUCAACUGCACAAGUUCAGGCCCUAAAAGUUUCCUUUCUCCAACAUCAUUCCAACAAAUAGGAGAUCGACAUUUCCUACCAUAUAAUGCCUCAAAAGGUGUCAUCCCAAUGCUAGCUUGAAAACUAUUGUUAUAGGCAAACUCUACUAAAGGUAAAUGAUCAUCCCAAUUACCUUGCAGGUCCAAAAUACAAGCUCUCAACAAGUCUUCCAAAACCUGAAUUACCCUUUCUGAUUGGCCAUCAGUUUGAGGAUGGAAAGCAGUAUUAAAACUCAACUUAGUGCCCAAAGCUUUUUGUAGACUAUGCCAGAAUCUAGAAGUGAAACGAGGAUCUCUGUCAGACACUAUAGAAACUGGUACUCCAUGCAUUCUCACAAUCUCCUUCACAUAAAGAGAAGCUAAACGAUCUAAAGAAAAGUUGACUUUCAUAGGCAAAAAGUGAGCAGACUUUGUCAACCGAUCAACAAUCACCCAAAUAGCAUUAUUACCCCCUAAGGUUCUUGGCAAUCCUAUCACAAAAUCCAUGGUAAUAUGCUCCCACUUCCACUCAGGAAUAGCAAGUGGCUGCAAAGACCCUGCUGGUCGCUGAUGUUCAGCCUUCACCUGUUGACACACUAAACACUGAGCCACAAAUUGUGCAAUAUCACGCUUCAUACCUGACCACCAAUAGUUUUGCCUCAAAUCCUUGUACAUCUUUGUCCCUCCUGGGUGGAUUGCAAACUUGGAACAAUGAGCUUCCUCUAAAAGCUCCCUCCUUAAGUCUUCAUCAUUUGGGACACAAAGUCUAGUCCCAAAUCUCAAGAUCUCAUCAUCUGACAAAACAAAAUCAGGCUUACUGCCCCUCUUAACUUCCUCCAUAACUUGCACUAAUCGGGAAUCAUUCUUUUGUAGGGUCUUAAUUCUCCCAACUAAGUCUGGUUGUACUCUGAAAUUUGCUACAAGUGCUCCUAAGCCCAUAACUCGAAAGUGGACUUGUAAACUCCUCAACUCUUCAAGUAACUGCCUUUGACAGCCUCUAAUAGCUGCUAGAGAACCAACUGACUUCCUACUCAAGGCAUUAGCUACAACAUUCGCCUUCCCAGGAUGAUACUGAAUAACACAAUCAUAGUCCUUAAGUAGUUCUAUCCAUCUUCUCUGUCUCAUGUUCAACUCCUUUUGGGAAAAUAAAUACUUCAAACUCUUAUGAUCUGUGAAUAUCUCACAAGUUUCACCAAAAAGAAAAUGUCUCCAGAUCUUAAGUGCAAAAACCACAACAGCUAACUUCAAAUCAUGAGUAGGGUAAUUCUUUUCAUAAGGCUUCAACUGUCUAGAAGCAUAAGCUACAACUCUCCCAUGCUGCAUAAGAACACAACCUAAACCCUGAUGAGAAGCAUCACUAUACACCACAAAUCCUCCUGAACCUGAAGGGAUAGUCAAAAUAGGAGCUGACACUAAUCUAUUCUUCAACUCUUGGAAGCUACAUUCACAAUCAUCAGACCACUCAAACUUAACUCCCUUCUGUGUCAACUUAGUUAAAGGUAGGGCAAUCUUAGAGAACCCUUCUAUAAACCGCCUAUAGUAACCAGCAAGUCCCAAGAAACUUCGAAUCUCAGUCACAGUACUAGGUCUUCUCCAAUUAGCUACAACAUCUACCUUGCCAGGGUCAACUGAGAUGCCAUCAUUGCUUACCACAUGCCCAAGGAAAGAAAUUCGGUCUAACCAAAACUCACACUUCUUCAGUUUAGCAUACAACUGCUUAUCUCUGAGGGUCUGUAAUACAAUACUCAAAUGACCCUCAUGCUCCUCUCUACUUCUUGAGUAUACCAAGAUGUCAUCUAUAAAAACCACCACAAACUGAUCUAAAUAGGGUUUGAAUACCCUAUUCAUCAAGUCCAUAAAAGCAGCAGGUGCAUUAGUCAAAUCAAAAGGCAUAACAAGAAACUCAUAGUGCCCAUACCUAGUUCAAAAAGCAGUCUUGGGUACAUCUUCCCCUCUAACCCUCAACUGGUGAUAACCCGAUCGAAGAUCUAUCUUAGAGAACACACAAGCACCUUGUAGCUGAUCAAACAAAUCAUCAAUCCGAGGAAGGGGAUACUUGUUCCUCACUGUCACCUUAUUCAACUCCCUAUAGUCAAUGCAAAGUCUCAUUGAGCCAUCCUUCUUUUUCACAAAUAGAACAGGAGCUCCCCAAGGUGAAACACUAGGCCUGAUAAAACCCUUGUCUAAUAACUCUUGAAGCUGAACUUUCAACUCCUUAAGCUCCACAGGUGCCAUCCUGUAUGGGGCCUUAGACAUAAGACCUGUUCCUGGUACCAGAUCAAUGGUGAACUCCACCUCUCUCUCUGGCAAGCCAGACAAAUCCUCUGGAAAGACAUCAGGAUACUCUCUUACUAUGGGUAUGUCUUCCAACUUCAAAUCACUUUCAUUACUCACCACACUAGCCAAAAAUCCUUGGCAACCCUUCUUAAGCAAGCUACUAGCACGCAAGGCUGAGAUCAUACGCAGUGGUCUGUCCACAUGCUUCCCUUCAAAGCUAAACUUAGGCUGACCAGGAAUACUAAAUGUCACUCUUUUCUCAAAACAGUCAACAGAGGCAUGGUAGGAAGCUAACCAAUCCAUCCCCAAAAUCACAUCAAAAUCCUGAAGGUCAAGGAGUACUAAGUCAACUGGCAUUUCCCUAUAACCAAUCAUCACAAUACAAUUUCUAAGCAUUCUACUGGCCACAACAGAAUCUCCCAUAGGAGUAGCAACAAUCAAAUCAAAGUCCAUGCUAACAACAGGCAAACCCAACAAACCAGCAAAAGAUACUGAAACAAAAGAGUGUGUUGAUCCAGGAUCAAUCAAGACUCUAGCAAAUAAGGUGUGGAUUCGGAGAGUACCUGUCACCACAUCAGAAGUGGCCUGAGCAUCUCGAUGAGUCAUAGCAAACACCCGUACUUGGGCUUUGGGUUUCUGUUUAUCCUCCUUAUUUUCCUCUUUAGGCUUCCUAGUGAUGAACUUCCUAUUCUCUGGACAAUCUCUGAUCAAAUGUCCUUGCUUCCCACAACCAAAGCAAGCUCCAGUCUCUCUAUAGCAUGGCCUACCCCCAUGCUUCUUACCACAAGUAGGACAAGCCCCAUCUAAAUUCUGCGCUGCCUUCCCUUUAUUCUGAUUUCUUCCUGAUGUAGACCUUCGCUGUGCUUGAUUACCAUGAGCACCAUCACUCCUAUUUCGCUUCCUUUGCUGUUCUCUAUACUGAUGAAGCUCCUCAUUAUCUUUCUCUGCUAUAAGGGCUCUAUCAACAACCUCUGAAUAGACACCAAGCUUCAGAAUAGAUAUCUUGUUCUUCAAAUAAGGCUUCAAUCCAUCCUGAAACUUUAAUGACUUUUCCUCCUCUGUAGCAAUCAACUGUGGGGAAAAACGUGAUAACUCUGUAAAUUUGGCCUCAUACUGAGUCACAGUCACAUCCCCCUGUUCCAAACGAAUAAACUCUCCCACCUUCUGCCGCCUAACACUGUCAGGGAAAUACUUCUUGUAGAAAGCCUCCCUAAAUUGUCUCCAUGUUAUGGGUCCCUGAUCCUCCAAAAGUCUCCUAGUCAUACGCCACCAAUGAUCUGCCUCUUUAUCUAACAUAAAAGCUGCAUAAGAGGCUUUUUGCUCCUCAGAGCAAUCUAUGACACCAAAGAAUUUCUCCAUCUUAAGGAUCCAAGCCUCUGCCUCUGUGGGAUCUGUAGCACCAGAAAAGUAAGGAGGACCAAUUUCUUGAAGUCAUCAAAAGAGCUACCCCUAGAAGAUGAAGACUGUCCCUGGACAUUAGUCACAACAGCUCGAGCUUGGCGUUCAACUAAACCAGCUAGUGUCCCAAGAUACCUAUAGAUCCCUUCUGCACUCACGGGAGGCAAACCCUCAACUGGAGGUACAUUGUCAUUAACCUGACUGUUUUGGGAAGAUGCAGGUCUCCUUGGUGGCAUGGUGUCCUAUAAAGCAAUAGGUGUAACUAAAUUAGUCACUAAGAAGUCAAAUAAGCAAAUCAGAAUUGUAAGGAAUAAAAGGAAUCAGACUAGAUGAAGUUGAAACUUAAACUAAUACGUCACUCAUCUAUUCCCAAAGGUACACUAAACAAGUUCCCAUCAAGAUCACAACCUAGUGCUCUGAUACCACUCUGUCACGCCCCAAGACCCACUCCAAGGGCGUGACGGUCAUUUCACACCUCAAACCCGAAGGCUUAAAGUAUAAUCUGACCCAAACAAUCAUAUUGUAACUGGAUGUUACCAAUUACCAAAUACCUGUUCAGAGUAGCGGAACAAAAUCUAAAAUCCUCAAAAUUCAAUUUCCAAAUAACUUCCAAAUAUCAAAUGAUCCAAAUGAACAUAACUAACAGUUAAACAAAAUCCAACAUAAAAUCCUAAGUCAAAUCCUAAUGAUGACCAUUCUUCAGCCUAGCCAUCACUCCUCACCCGAACUAAGAGUACCUGAAAAUUUUCAACAAAUGGGAAUGAGCUCACAGCCCAAUAAGGAAUAUUAAUGCAAUUCAUGGAUCAAAUAUUUUCAUUUCAAAUAGGAGAUAUCAAUUUUUUUUUUCUCAUCAAAUAUCAGAGUUCUAAAAAUACUAAUAUAUUCAAAAUUCAACCAACCAAUUUCAUAUCAAAUUCAAACACUUUCACAUAAGAUUCAAUCAAAUUCAUUCAAGUUUCAUUACUCUGGUUAUCAAAUAUCAAAUGCCCAAUUAGGUGGGACUUUUCAAAUGGGUGGCUAGCCUCAAAUUGUUCCUGGUGGACGGAACCAAACACUACUAGUACUAGUAACCUCUAACCAAACCCCUAGAGGCUGGGGUCCAAAUCAAUUACAUUCCCACCAUGAAAUGUAAAGGUCAACUAUUAUAUCUCGUUGACAGGGCCGAAUAGUCAACUAUUAUAUCCCGUUGACAAGGGCCAAAUAAACCAGAGUGAUGUUUUCGUUCAAGUAUUCAAAUUUACACAACAUAAUAUCUCCAUAUUUUGUGUCAUAAAUAAAACAAAAUAUUCCAACAUAACAUUUAGUGCAAAACAAUUUGAUCCAUGCAUGGUAACAAAAUAUCAUUUUCUUUUCCACAAUUCAAAAUAACAUAUAAGAUAAUUUAAUUUUAUAAAUAUUACAUUAACUUCCCUUACCUCAAAAGAAGUCCUUGAAAGCUUGGGAGAAGAAUAAUUCUGAAAAAAUAUAAUCUACUCUUCACCUAAUAUAACAUAAGAGAAACAAUUAUUACUAUUUAUUUAUAAUUUAACUAAUCUAUUCCUUAUUUAAAUAAAACUAAUAAAUUUCCAAUUUGUUUCUAAUAACACAUUACUAAUUUAAUUAAAUUACAAUUUUAUUUCAUUAUAAAAUUCUAUAUAUAUGUAUAUAUAUUUUUGCUAAAUCUCUCAUUCUAUUUAAAAAAAAUACCAUUAUUACUAUUAUCUUAUUCAUUAAUCUAAAACUAAAUAUUAUUAUUUUAAAUUAACCAAUUCAAAAGCCACUAAACCAUUACCUAGUUGUCUCGGGUACACCAAACCACCAAACCAAAAAGCAAGUUUUUUUUUUCCAUUGCCAUCAUCAUAUUCAUUAUAUAUAUAUAUAUAUAUAUAUAUAUUAAAGGCUUCCAUUUGCUUCCAGUACACGUACGCCCCCCAUUUUAUUUAUUUUUUAUUUUUUAUUUUCUUCCUUCCUUCCUUCCAGUGCUGUGCACACGCGUUCUCCUUUUUUUUUUUUUUUUUAUUUAACCCUAACCUAAAAUCGAAAUAUUCCAAGCAAUUUUUUUUUUUUUUUAAUAAAACUUAAGAUCUCCCAAAUUUCAAUACUAAAAUCAAAAUAUUAAAUUUUCACUAUUUGAUAUUAAAACGAAUUAAAAAAAUAAUCUAACCCUAAUCUAGAUUUGGGGUUUUCCAAAAGAAAUAUAUCUAAUGCGUUUGAAAUUAAUCAAUGAAUCUAAAAUAUUAAACUAGGGGUUAGAAUCUUACCUAUCUCUAUCUGUUCUUCAACCCUGAAAUCUGACUCCAACCUUACGUUCUCUGGAAUUCUGCGAACAGGAACUCUAUUUAGAAAAGAAGGGAAAUAAUAAAAUUUCUAAUUUAUACCUAAGGUAUUUAUUCGUAAAAUUACACUUUUACCCCUCUUUCACUUUAUUAAAUUAAUUAAUUAACUAAUUAAAUUAUUAAUAACAAUUUCCUAAAUUACCCUUAAAAGAAAAUGUCUGGGCGUUACAACAUGGUCUUCACUUGUAUCUUAAUUUCCAAUAAAGCAUGAGUUAUGCCUUGUUGACUGCAUGCAUACAUAUAAAAGGGAUUACCUGCGCCUAAAUGGCCAUGCAAUAGGUGGGGCCUGACCGAGGCAUAUUUCCAAUAUUGAUAGUACUGCACUUUGAUUUGUGCCAUACUAGCGACUUGCCAAGAACGUUUUUCUCCGAAGUGGUAGUCCUCAAUUUCCAAUAUAUAUAGUGCUCGAGUCCCAUGCAAAAUAAAAUAAGGUUGAAAGUAGUAUAAAGCAAAUUGAAACUAAACAUCAGAAUUAUGCAAUAAAUAAUAAAAAUGAAAAAAUAAAUAAAUAAAUAAAUAGAUAAAACAAAUAUAACCAUAAAUAUCACAUUUGCAAUUCAAUGAAUUUAGGAUGUUAAAUGAGCUCAAUGGAUAAUAAUAAAAAUAAAAAAUAAAAACAAUGUCAAAUUGGCAUAGACCAAACCAAAGCUCAUUGACAUUAAAAAACAAGCAACCAAACUUAGGAACUAACCUAACUGAACUAAGCUUAUAGGAACAUCUGAAUGGAACCUAUCCUCUAAGUGAGAUCUAAACUAAGCUCGAAAGGCAGCCAAAGGAUGACUACAUGUAAAAAGAGAAGUACAGGAAGACACUUAGUGUCACAUGUGCUAAGAGGACAAAAUGGAGAGCCUACAUGAGUGCAUUAUGAGUGUAUUGGUUCAUGGAUUUAAGUAAUUCAAUAGAGGUUGUAGUACACCACCUCUUAAUUGGAGGGAUGACUUGUCUUAGUCAUUGAGAUGAGUUUCCCAUGGUAAGUACACUAGUAUAUGUGAUGCACAUUAAAUAGGAUCUACGGUGAAUCAUGAUGCAAGACUAUCAAUUGUCAUAAUUCACCAAGCUACUAUACUGCAUAGAGUCUCAACCUAGAAAGGAUAUUGAGCUUGUGCCAAAAUCAACAAGAGACUUUGACUUGUGGGUGAGACCAUAAAGUGGUCAUAUAUCCUUAUGGAUUGAGUCACUAUUGAUGGAGGCCGAUUACAACAGAUAUUCUUAAUAGAGACACUAUGAUAUCUCAUGGGAUUGAGACAGUAUGUCCCAUUAGGUGAUCCAAAGGAUAUGUGAUCAUGAAAUUUGUAGUCACAAUAAUUCUUUUAGUGGAAUUUGACACAUACUCUUUGGAGUUAGAGUAUGUUAAUUGAUCACAUGAUAAGUAGGAUCUGUAACUCAAGGAUUUGAUAGGUGAUCUUGAUAGGUGAUAACACUGCCUUGCUAGAUUAUGGACACCAGUUCAUAGGGAGUUGCAUGCAGUGGAUAGUAGGUCAUGAACUCAAACUUUGUCUUAUUGUUAUUUACAUAAAGUGUGGAGUGUAGUUGUUUGUCUUUUGUGGAAUGUUGAAUCAACUUUGGAAUUAGAUUGUGAUGGAGCUAUCACUCCUUUGGGUCUCAGUGGUCCCUACUCUGAGCUCAUAUACUAUGAUGAUAAGGUUUAUGAGUGUUGGAUUGACUUUAGGUUAAUUCUUGUGCAUAAGGGGGUUUUAGUAAUUAUGCAAGGCUGUACAAAGAGAUAAUAAACGAGGUCUCUGGAUUAGGUUAAUUAAUAAAUUAGAUAGCCCUAUGUGGCUAAUUAAUCAUUUAGGACCCGUUUUGGGCUAGAUUAAAUGAUCAAGCCUUGAUGGGCUCAAGUCACUUAAGCCCAGUAGGAAACCCUAUAAAUACCCUUUCAUGGGUUAGGGUUUCUUAAUGACUUUUGGUGAGAGUUGACUUUUACCUCUAGAGAGAGCCAAGGUUUCCACCAUUUUGAAGCCUACAAUUUAGAGUGCUAAGAUUGUAGUUCUAGUUAUCCGUUGAAAGAUCUUAGGUGUAUAAGACCUCCAAACUAUUCAAAUAUGUUCUUCACCAUAAGAAAUUGAUUUGGGAACAUCCAUAUCCAUGUAUGAGGUUCAUAUAUCUAGAUCUAUAGUUAAUAAUGAUUUUUAUUACCAUUUUAUUUCAUUGUGAUAGAUUUACAGAUGCCUAGGGAUAGAUGCAUGCACCCUACAAGAUCUAGGGCAGGAGAAUGGAGUUUGAUGGGAACCCCAGAUUACUCUAUUCUCAUACCCUAGAUCGUGUAGGGUGCAUGCAAAUCUAUCAUAAGCUCUCUAAAUCUACUAUAAGAGAUAAACAGGUAUUCAAAAACAAUAUGAAUACCAUAAAAAACAUAGAUUUAGAAAAUAAAUCCAUAUACCUUUGAUUUGGAUAUUCUUGGAUCAAUUCCAAUUGAUGUAGAUAACUCCAAAGUCAUAAUGGUUCUCGAAAACACCAUGAUCUUCUGCUUGAUGACUCUUCCUUAUGUUUAAGGACUGAGAUGGUGGAGAUCUCAAAGGUGGAGGCUAGGGCUCUUUCUCUAGACUAAAGGGGAGAAUGACAAGAACUUUCCCUAAAGGGGUAUUUAUGGGCUUCCUAUUAGGUUAAGUGACUUAAGCCCACCAUAGGCUUGAGUUACUUAAUUUAGUUCAAAAAAGUUACUAAUUGAUUAAUUAACCAUCUAAGACCGUAAUUAAUCAAUUAGCCUAGUCCAGAGAUACCACUCACUUAUCCUUGUGCAACCUUGCAUAAUUACCAAAACACCUUUAUGCACAAAAGUGAACUAAAAACCCAUUCAACCCUCAUAAAAUAUGACAUCAAGGAAUAUGAGCUCAGAAUGGGAACCAUUGGGACCUAUAGGAGUUCUAGCUCCCUCGGAAUCAAAUUAUGAAAUUGACUCAACAUUCUACUAUAGAGAGUCAACUGCACUCCAGUACCCCAUAUAUAUUACACCGAGACACUAAGUGCUCAAGUCCGUGACCUACUAUCCACUGAAUCCAGACUCUCUAUGAGUUGAUGUCUGUAAUCUAAAAAAUUCGUGUUAUUACCUAUCAAGAUUACCACAAAUAAUUGAGUUAUAAAUUUCACUUAUUAUGUGAUCAAUUGACAUACUCUAGCUCCAAGGAGCAUAUGUCAAAUUCAACUAAAGGAAUUACUAUGACCACAAAUUUCAUAAUCACAUGUCCUUUGGAUCACCCAAGGGGACACAUUGUCUCAAUCCCAUGAGAUAUCAUGGUGCCUCUAUUGAGAAUACAUGUUGCCACUAGCCUCAAACAAUAGUGGUCCAAUCUAUAGGGCUAUAUGACUACUUUAGGGUCUCACUCAUAGGUCAAAGCCUCAUGUUGGUUUUGGCACAAGCCCAAUGUCCUCUCAAGGUUGAGAGUCCAUUUAGUAUAGUAACUUGGUGAAUCAUGAUAAUUGAUAGCCUUGCAUCAUGAUUCAUCAUAGGUCAUGUCUAGUGUGCAUCACAUACACUAGUGCGCUCAUUAUGGGAAACCCAUCCUGAUGACCAAGAUAAACCAUCAUUCCAAUUAGGAAGUGGUGCACUACAGUCUCUAUUGGAUUACCCGAAUCCAUGAAUCGACUGUGGACAACUUAUUUACUUACAAGGAACCCAUGACCUGUAUCUUCUGUAUAACUCCUAAUGCAUCCAAGUCAUAUACAAUGCAAAAGACAUAAGCUAAAUGCACAAAUCAAUGUCAAUAAACCAAAGGGAUAGUAAGGGGAUAGUUAAAUCUAAUUUGUUACAUCAUGUCUUGCUUUUUGGGGCUCAAUCCCAACAAAGGAAUCCAAGAUUCCCAACAAUUAUGCAUACUAUAAGCUAAGUGAUUUCACUUGUGAGGAGAUUUCUUGGGUAAGUUCUCUUUAGCUCUGGUUUUUGUGCUUAUUUUCAGUUCAUUUUCUUCCAUAUAUUAAUUCUAAAGAUGAUAUGUAGAUUGGGUGCAGAUAUUGAAGGUUGCACACUUGAUUGUUGGAUAUUUGUUCUUCAUCUAUGGAGCGUUUUUUUUUUCUUCACUUUGUUCAUCUUGAUCACUUAAGAACAUGCUUAAUCUCUUGAAUAAUUUUUAGUUUGGUUUUUUUUUUUUUGGGUAUUUUACCAUUUUGAAGCCUAUUGAUUAAAUCUUGACAUGAGACUUAUUUGGAUUUGAAAUCUAUGUUUUUAUUUUAGGGAUUUUAUUUUCCCCUUUAUUUUGAUAAUUUUUAAAGCUUUUUGACUGAUUUUAAAAUAAAAUUUCAGAGCCACAAAGUAUUUAUUUGUUUGUCAAUAAGAUUUUCUCUAGGAAAGACCCUUUACAGCCUCUUUUUGCCUUUUUGUGUUUUCUAUGCAAAUUUAGUAGUAAAACUCAUUUUCAAACCCCCUUUGGUAGAAUUUCAAACAUCUUUCAAUGGUCAAAUUUGUGGGCCAAGGUGAAGUCUCCUUCCAUAGUUUUGGUCUUACCAUCAUGUUUGAGAAAAUGAUAUUUGUUAUAUUUAUUUUUGUGAUUUUUGAAAAGUUUUUUCAAACUGAUUUUUCGAGGAUCAUUUUUAGCCCUUUUGAAUCCAUCCUCAUGGUCAUUUGGGGCUUAAUAUUAUGGUCAUUUUAAGGCUAAUAAUGGUUGCCACUAGUGCUUGGCAUACAUGACUUGAUUCCAUAUGGGAACAUAUCUCUCCAUGGAUGUUUUCAUGUACAUUCAACACUUUUCCCCAAACUUGAGUGUUAAUUUGGUCCUCCAUGCCUCUUAUGAGCCUAAACUCAUAGUCAUUUAAGGGUUGUGAGUGAAGCUCUGUAGUUGAACUAUAACUCACUUCCUUAACCCACAUUACUUAUUUUUCUAAAUUCUUGAUUUUAAGAUUUUCUUGAUUUUGAAAAUAUCGAUUAAUCUUUUAAAUAUUAAUUUAAUGAGAUUAUCUCUAGCCUCUAUGAGCCUUUUCCCAUGUUCAUUAGAGGUUGGGAUGUGGAUUAGUCAAUGAAAAAUAAUUUGUGCUUAUGGCAAAACCCACAUUCUUUGAUCUCUAAGUUUUGGUUUUUUGUUGUCCUGUUUUUUACACCCUUAUUGUUUUUAUAAAUUUGAACUUUUUGACUUAUUAUAAAGUAUUUUUGAGGUUUAGAUUGUGUUUUCUUGAAUGUCUCAAUUUUUUUUUUUUUUUGUUUUGUUAGAAACACCCUUUCCAAGCUUGUUGAAUAAAUUAGUUUUUCCAUAUGUCCAACUUCUGUCUUGUUUUUUUACCUUUGAAAUGUUUUUGCAAAUCAGUUCUAGCUUGUGGGUUUUUUUUUUAAUUAAUUUUGAGUUCUUUUUUUUUUUUUUGUGGGCUUUGGUUUUGCUAAAAAAAAUCAUUUGUUAAACUUGAAAUUUAAUUCAAUCAUUGCAUGCUUGCUAUUCUAGCCUAAUUUGGAGUUGUGAGAAGCUCUUUGAAAUAUGGACUACUUUGAGCACCUUUGAGCCCCUUAUGCUUUUGGGUUGUUUUCUAGAUACUUUGAAUAUGAUGUAGAAUUUUGUUUUUGAUUUUAUCUCAUUUCUAACAAUUUUAUUUAGAUUUAUUUUUGUAAAUACUUAUUUUCUGCCAUGUUUCUGCAUUAUUUGAAUAACUUGUAAAUUUAGUCCCUUUUGGUAUGUUUUUAGUUUUCUGUGACUCUUGAUUUGUAAUCUAGAGGUUUUAUACAUGUUAGACAAGCCUUCUCCUGUGGCAUGAUCACCCUUUUACUAUUUUAUUUGGAUUUAUUCUGUAACUACAUAUUUGCUAUCCUGUCCAAUUAUGAUCUCUUUGCAUAAUUCGUGCAUAUUGGUCCCCUUUGAUGCAAGUUUAGUCAUCUUUGACUCUUAACUUGAAUUUUAUAUAUGUUGUAUAUAAUGGGUAGCUCUUUCUUUGAUAUUAUAUCCUUUAUUUUGCAAAUGAACUAAUCCUUUCUUUCUAUAUAUGUAAGCGUUCUGACUUGUUUUAGGCACUUUUAAGGUACACUCUCAUUUUCCCUUGAUAUGUUUGAUUCCUUUGAUUUGUAUACUAUGCUUUGAUCUUUAUCUCUUUCAUCACCAUUGCCUUGUUGUGUAUUCAUAUUGUUGUCUCUUGGUUUAGUAAAGACCUCUUUAAAGGUUAAAGGGAUGUUACCUUAUGGUACAUUUCCAAUAAGUGACCUAAUCCCAUACUUGGACUUGAUUUUCAUAAACAUGUUUUUCCUUUAAAAAUAGUGACUUUAAGAUUUUAUUUUUUAUUUUUAUUUUCCCUUUAAAAAAAAUGUGACCACUCCAUUUUUUUUUAAAAUUAAAUUUUCACAUAAAAAACAAGUUUAACAAGUUUUAGCAAGUGAGAAUGUACGUAAAAAAAGUACAUAGAUAUAUUCCAUUUAUAACAAGAUUUAAAUAUUAUAAAAGUGUAGGAGAUGGGAAUCUCAACUAAGGAUAAAAAUAUCGGUAAUCACAGAUAUAUUGGUAGUUCAAUUUUACAGAUAUAUCGGAGAUAUAUCGGCGAAUAUUUUGAUACAAAAUAUCGAUUGACCUAAAAUUGAUCAAAACUUUUAAAAAUGUAAAAUAAAACUCUUAGAAAUAAAAUUAGAAGUACAAUAGAUAUCUUAAAAUUGUUUGUUGAAGAAAUUAAAAGUAUAUAUAUAUAUAUAUAAGUGUACAUUGAUUAUCAAAUUACAUCAAAUAUUAUUAGAUAAUAAUAUUGUGAUAUUUGAUUAUAAUAUGUUUAAUUUUAAAAUAUAUUUAAUAUUAAAAUUAUGAUAUAUUUAAUUUAAUUAUAUUAAAUGAUAUAAAAUAAAUGAUGAUAAAUGUAUAAUUUUUUAAUAUUUAAUUAAUAUAUUAAUAAUAUUAAAAAAAUUUUGUUACUCAAUUAAAUGAAUUUUUUUUUAUUUAAUUAUAAAAUAAUUAUAAUUAAUUUAUUGUUUAAAGUAUUGUUUUAAUAUUUUGUGUAUACGAAAACUUUUAAUAUAUAUACAUGUGAUGCAAAAUAAUUUACAAGGGCAAUCUGCCCCAAUGGUAAGGUGGGUGCUCUCGCAACAUUUCAACCCCCUCGGGUAGCAGGGCAAGAGCUCAUUUUUUUAGCUUUGCCAUGGUCAACGAGGAUCGUUGACCGCACAUAUUUAUGUGGGAAAUAUCGUUUCCACAUGACACAGAUAUUUUGGCGAAAUAUCCUGAUAUUUUAAUCAGUGAUCUCAACUCGUUAGGAUUCAAAUAUUAUAGAAAUUAUGGAGAUGGGAAUCUCAAUAAUUAGUAGAUAGUUAAAGGUAGCUUGGUCAAUGGGAAUCUCAAUAAAUGUCAUUGCCAAUUAAAAUUGAUAGACCUGCAGGUAUACCAGAUCUGGGACGUCGACGUCUUGAUCUGAUAUCAAUGGCAGAAGUGAAGCUCCUGGGGUUUUGGGCGAGCCCAUUCAGUGACAGAGUGAUAUGGGCUCUAAAACUGAAGGGUAUAAACUAUGAGUAUGUAGAAGAAGACCCUUACAACAAGACCCAACUGCUUUUACAGCAUAACCCAGUUCAUAAGAAGGUUCCUGUGCUUAUUCAUGCUGGCAAACCAAUUGCCGAGUCUUCCAUGAUCCUUGAAUACAUUGAAGAAACAUGGCCACAGAAUCCACUACUGCCUCAAGGUGCUUACGAGAGAGCCAUGGCUCGUUUUUGGAUCAAAUUUGGUGAAGAAAAGGUAAUUUAGGGUACACAACUUCUGUCUUACUAGGAUAGCUUGUAUUUUCUGGUUGACUUCUCCUUUUAGGUCUAUUAUUUUCUGGUUGACUUCUCCUUUUGGAUCUAUGUAAUUUUUGGACUUCAAACCUCUAGAUCUGUAGAUGGUCUGGAUGUCGGAAACGACAAAGCUGAAUGAAUAUCCUGGUUUGGUGUUCAACCAGUAUGAAAUGAAGACCAAUCAUACUGCAUGAUCAUGAUUCUAUUGAUUAGUAUAUUUGAUAUUGUCUAAACCUUACGCUCAUUCUAAGAAUAAUUGUUAAUGCCUCUUUCAGAUGGCCACCAUUUGUGCAGUCUUGAGAACUUCCGGAGCAGAACAAGAGAGGGCAACAAAAGAAGCGAUGGAACUGCUGAAAAUCUUAGAAGAGCAAGGUCUUGGGGACAAGAAGUUCUUUGGUGGGGAUGCCAUAGGACUGGCAGACAUAGCGUUUGGUUGGCUUGCUUACUUAUUUGGAGUCAUAGAAGAAGUAGCAGGUGUUAAAGUGCUGGAUGCAAACAGAUUACCUCGACUGCAUGCAUGGAUUGACAAUCUUAAGGAAGUUCCUGUGAUCAAAGAAAAUCUGCCCGACCGCCAGAAACUGUUGGGACACCUGAAACGCAGAAGGGAGACUCACCUCGCACUUCCAAAUUGUAAUAACUAGUAUGGAUUUCUAAUCUUUAAUUUGUUUCCUAUUUCCUUAGUAUGCGUUAACAUUAAUGGGAAGAAUCUUUUGUUUUUCAAAAAAUAUUCCACUGGACUAAUUAGAUUUUUGAAGAUAUGAAGUCUUGUUAUGCUAUGAUCUUCUAAAAGCUUAAGACUAUAUUUAGUUCCAAGAGAGUGAGAAAAAUAAAGUAUAGAGAAAAAGUAAAAGGAAAGAGAAAUCUAUAAGUUCAAAUUUUAAAAAAAUAUAUUUUUUUAUUUGGUUAUUCAUGAAAAAAAUUAAAAAGAAAUUAUUGAGGAAUACAAUUUUUUUUUUUUCCAAACAUUCCUCAAAAGCCUAAGGAAAAUUAGAAGGGAAUCUUUUAGCAUUUUACCUUCUAUUUAUCUUAGAAUUUUUCCCUCAUAUUUUUCAUCACAUCUAGCCUUAAGAAAGUCAAUUUUUUUUUAAUAUUAGUUUUCUUUCUUAGUACUUUAUAGCCUAAAGAGUUAGGUAGUGGGCCGUGAUUGACCAACAAUUAUUUGGGCUUGCACACUGCUUUAUUUGGGCUCAAGUUAAACAAGACUCUUAUAGACUCUUUUAAGUUAAUUGAGCCCAUUUGGUUGUGGGAUUUAAAAAUAAUUUUAUAAUAUUUAUAAAAAUAAAGAACUAGUUUUUAAAAAAUUUAUAAUGUUGUUUUACAGUUGUUUUCUAAAAACAAUAUUUAAAAGUGAAAUUGAAAUAAAUAAUACUUUUAAGAGAAUAAUAGAGAUUGCUUUCAUCUUAUUUUAAAGGCAUUCUAACACCAGAAGAUUUUCUUCAUCAAGCAAGUUAGUGUUGUCUACUUUAAUAAUUUCCGAAUUCCAAUUAGCUUCAAAUCUGUGGAUUCCAACAAGUUUGAAGUCCGUUAAAUUUCUUUAUAAAUAGAGACAUCAAGUUCAUCACAAGGCAAAGACGAGCAAGUAAGAAUUAGAAUUAUCAAGAGUGUUCUCCAAAAUUUUAUCUUUGCUUUUGUAAUCCCCCUUAUUUCAAAAAACUUUUCCUUUGUAAUAAAAUCCCUUUGUUGUCAACAAGUUAGUUUGAUAUAAACUUUCUUGUAAUCAUGAUAUAAUUUCAAUAUAAAGUUUUAUUUCAAAUUUAAUUUUUGUGUUCUUGUGUUAACUUUCUAUAUUUAUUUUAAUCACUUUCUCAAUUACAUGUACUUUAUGAAUUUUAUUUAAUUUUUCUAAUUUUUUUAUUAGGUAAAUAAAUUCUAAAGAAAGAGAUACUUAAAAUAACAUUUCCUAUUUUUUUUUUUUUUUAAAUAAGUUGAAUCUCAAAAACUAAUCCAAUUGGUACUAAAAAUUCACAAAACUUAAAAAAUAAAAAUCCAAUUUAACCAAUUUUGGUUUAUUAUAUUUCAGUACUAAUUGAACUUAUUUAUGAAUUUCAAACUAUUUUUAAAAAUUGUUGGACUCUCGUUAAUAAAUCCACACAUUAAGUGUUAAGUCUUGCUUGAUUCAAAAUCUAUUUAUAUAAUGAAAAAAUUAUGGUUAUUACAAUUCUAUAUAGAAGAGAAACAAUAGAGUGAAUUAAGAUUAAUUUUUGUUCAUAAAUUUUUAAUAUUAAUUUGAUUAGUAUUUGAAUUUCAAAAUAUUUUUAAAAAUUAUUAGACCCAUUAAUGAACUAAUGGAUAAAGUUUCACUUGAUUUAAAAGUUAUAUUUUCCUACUAAAAAAAUUAAAAUAUAUAGUAAUGUGUAAAGAAAAAACCAGCAAAGUCAUUCAUUGGUGGUGAAUUUUUAAUAUUAAUAAGCCAUCAUCCUAUUAUUUCUCCUCUAUAUACAACUAUACUUUUCUAAAUUUCUCAUUAAGCAAAUAUAUUAUAAAUCAAGUAAUAUUAAAUUAAAUGAAACUUAAUGCUUUAAUUUUUUUUAAUGAAUCUACUAAUUUUUUUAAUAAUAAUUUAGAAUUAAAAAAAUUGAAUUAAUUACAGAUUUUUAUCAAAACUAAUGCAAAAUACUCUCACCAUAAUUGAGUAUUGAAUGUGUGCAUAUAAUGAAAAACUUGGCUUAUUUAUAUAUUAAAAAAAUAAACUUUGUUUAUUUUUAGAUUUAUUUUAAAAUGUAUAAUUAAUUAUCAAUAAUAAUAAUAAUAAUAAUAAUAUUUUUAACAAAAUGUAAUUAUGCCUUUAUAAAGACUUUAGUAUUUAUAUUUAUAAUAUAUACAAAUUAUAUAUUUUUAAUGAAAAAUAUAGUUUAUGAUUUUAUUAUAAUAUUAAUAUUCAUCUUUUACUAAAAACAAUUUUUAAAAAUUUAUUUAUUAUUACUAAAUUAUUAUUAUUAUUUUAAUAAGGUUCCAAUUAAAUUUAAUUAAUAUUAUAUAAAUAGAAUUUAUAAUUUUUCUAUAAAAUGAAAAAAUAAAUUAAAUUUUGAAACAACUAAAAUUAGUAGAUAUGAGAAUCAGGUAGAGUUUAAAAUUGGUCUUGUUAUAGAUAUAAGAAAACAAAGAAAUUUCACUAACACAAAGUAAAUGUAUAAUGGAUGAAAUUUGCAUUCUGCAAAAGAAAUCAGCGAUAUUCCUGAAACAGUUUGUCCAAAUCUGGAUGCUGUUACAUGCUUUUGUAAAAGAUACAAGAUGUAAAUAUAGAUGAGCUGGUAAGGACAUCAAACUCACGGAACAGUCCCAUCAUCGAGGCACAGUAGUAGAAGCUGUUAGACCAUUGACAGAAGAACUGCUACCACUUGCUAUUUCUUGGUUAUUGGCGAAUCUCCCCACAGAGAAGGCAGGUCGUUCAGGCUGUCGAAGGGUUAGGCUUUCGCUUCUUAACAUGAUAAUUACAGAUGACAUGGUUGGCCUGUCAAAUGCAUCUUCCUGGACACACAAUAACCCAAUAUGGUAGCAUCUCAAAAAUUCAUCUGGGCAACAUGAAUCACCCAAUAAUGGAUCCAUCAGCUCCAACCCUUUUCCUUCAUUCCAUAGUUGCCAUGCCUGCAUCAUCAUUUAGUGGGGGUUAGGCUAAGCAAUACGUUCAAUAGAGAUCUUGCUCAUCUCAAGUGAAAAAAGAAACCAAUAAUGUGAUAACAUGAUGCUAACAUGUUAUCACAUUUUUUCAUUUGGAGAUUAUACUGCAACUACCCUAAAUAAACUUACAUAUGAUAGGAGGCUUAGACCCAUUCCAGAGAGAUGGAAACCAGCAUUCUUUCUCCCAGUUAUGAUCUCAAGCAAGACAACUCCAAAACUGAAAACAUCAGACUUAUUGGAGUAUAGCCCUUCCAUAGCAUACUCUGGAGCCAUGUAUCCACUGUCAAGGAUUAAGGGGAAAUAUAAGUUCAGUAAAAGUUGAAAUACAACAAUAUAUACAGAACACAUUUUUGAAAAUUAAAAGAAUGUACUUACUAUGAUCCCACUAUUUUAGCAGUGUUAGUUCCAUUCUCACUUCCUGCAAAGAUCCUUGCCAACCCGAAGUCCGAUAUCUUCGGAUUCAUGUCACCAUCCAAUAAAAUAUUGCUAGGCUUUAAGUCCCUAUGGAUGAUCCUAAGGCGAGAAUCCUCAUGCAAAUAUGAAAUGCCCCGAGCAAUUCCAUUAAUGAUGCUAAAUCGUGUUUUCCAAUCUAGUUCCAAACCUCUAGUUGAAUCUGAUAAUCAUGAAGAAACCAAAUUCAAGUCAAGUAUCAUAUGUUUCUGAUAUUGUUCCUCUUCCAAGCAUCUAGACUAGCAACGCAUUCAAAAUUAAUUGGCCAUACCAAAAAGGAAGAAAUCUAAGCUUUUGUUGGGCAUAUAUUCAUAAAUGAGCAACAAUUCAUUUCCCUCUAAGCAGCAACCCAAGAGUCUCACAAGGUUUCUAUGUUGUAGUUUGGCAAUCAGAAUAACUUCAUUCUUGAACUCCUGUAAUCCUUGGCCAGAAGUGCUGGAAAGCCUCUUAACAGCAAUUUCCUUUCCAUCUGACAAUGUCCCCUGCAAGCAAUUUUUGGUCCAUGGACCAUUCCACAAGAAGAAAAGCAAAAUGCCCAUCUUAAGACUGCAUUAAUUUUCUAAAACACAGCAUGUUCCCCUCCCUAUCUGGGAGUGGCAGUGACUGAUGGCUACUUGAAAAAUCGACUGUCAACAGCAUGAUUACCUUAUAAACUGGGCCGAACCCACCUUCCCCGAGCUUGUUGUCAUUAGAGAAAUGCUGUGUAGCUUCGUACACGAUAUCAAACCCAAUCACAGGAAACUCCUUCGAUUUCGCUAGCAUAUCUCCUUGUAAAGUUUCACUUGAGUAGUCUUCAGCGUCUAGUCGUCCUCCUCCCAGGUCAAGUAAACAAAGAUCUCCCUUACUUUCUUUCUCCUCUGCAGAACAUAGACUAAUUCACUCAACACAAUGAGAAGUAUUAGCAUAGUUGUGGCAUCAGCUGGUUAGCUAGGUACCUGGAUCUGCUCCCUUCCUUCUCCUAAUCACAUAGUAAACACAGAAAGCCACCACUACAAUUCCUGAUAAACUUGUGCCAGUAGCAAUCCAUUUUGUUUUCCUUCCUUUCCUUCCUAUAACAAAGCAUUUUUAUUUUAUUUUAUAAUUUAGUAAUAAUUAGUAUAUUUUAGGGAAGAUGAUAACCAUACCGCGUGGACUGAUGCUUGAGGGAACUUGAGCUUCAACAACGGGGUCCUCCACAGCCGCAAACGGGUAGACCUCGUACCUUAUGUAACAGCUUGGCGCAAGAACUCUUCCACCCUGCUUUCCUUCCAUGAAGUUGGGAAUAUAACCAACAACUUCAUCCAGGCAUCGGCGGCAGUAAGACAUUCGUAAAUCUCGUGUACACUGCACAAUACCGUACAAAUUGAGAAAAUUGGAGACUUCAACCUGGCCAAUUGCAUACAUGUCAUCAGAGGAAGUGGCUUGGGCAGUCAGAUUUUGGAACAUUUCACCCAAUUUCUGGUCAAAUUUAUCUGGGGCAGAGGCGUUUUGUGUAUUCCACAUAUAAAGAGUUGGCUUCAUCUCCAGAUUAGAGAAGAAAGAUCUGUUGGAAUAGCGCAGAAAACACUCGUUGUACCAUAUAAUUGCCUCCUUCUUGUGUUGGCAAACCUGUACAAUCUUCAAAGUGGCAGCAUCGAUGCAACUCUGGCAGAUAUGUUUAGAGACAUCGGGUCUACAGAGGAAGAGACCGUAGACUUUGUCUGGGUCUUCCCCUUCAUAUACCAUAGAAAAGGAUGAAAUGCCACCUUCAUUGUUAAGGGAUCGGCUGAGGAGGGCACCAAGGUUGCUCUGGAAUUUGGUACUACCAGCAUGGCUAUUAUUAUUGCAAAAUGUAUAGAGAAACCCAGGUUGGUAAUUGGCCGGAGUUUGGGACCAAGCAAGGGGUAGAGAGUAAAGAAAGAUACAGAGGAAGACAAUAACAACGGACAUCUGCUUUUGCCCUCUGGGAUAAAUCAAACUACCAACGGAUUGUUAAUUGGUUGGACGACAGUCUUACAAUCAUACAGACAACUGAACUUAUAAAUUCCGAGGAUAGGAAGGCUCGUUAGCCAAGGAGUGUUGAAGGUUUGUCAACGAAGGUGAUGGGAAUUUUCCAAAUACCAUCCCUUCUUUUCUUUACUUUUGAAUUUUUGCAGGAUUUCAUGACUCUCAACUUUUUUAAAAUAUGACCCUUGAAACUAUUUUCAAAUCAAGGCAUUUUCAUAAAAAUUCAAUUGAAAAUAGUCAUUUAACUUUAAUGAGAGAACUUCACUUGAAUUUUCUAGUUAUUUUUUAAAAACAUAUUUUCCUUUUUGGAUUAUAAUUGUCAAAUUGAUUUUACAAAUAUUUUGUAGAUUCCAAAAUGGUUUUAAAUAUUUUUUAAAACUACAAUUUUUUUUUCCUUAACAAAUCCCACAAAUCAAAAGACUUUAAUUUGAAGAUGCUUAGAAGCAGCAGCCCCUUGAUAAGAUCGUUGACUCCUUACAUGUAAUAGCCAAACCCAAUUUAAGGGUAAAAUCAUAGUUUAAAAAAUAAAUAAAUAAUUAAAUUAAUUUAAUAAGGAUAGAAACGUCUUUUCAUUUUUAAAAGUCUUAGGUAUAAAUUAUAUUUUGUCUAUAUUUUUUAUUCAAUAAAAAAAAUCUUUUUAUAUGGAGCUUAGAAAAAUAAAAAAGGCAUAAGAUUGAAAAUUUGGAAAUUUAUGAUAAAAGAUAAGUUUUUCAAUAAAAUUUUUAAUUCUUAAAUUAAUAUUUGAUAUUUGUUAAUUAGUUUUAAACACUUUAAAUAUUUUUUGGAAGAUCUCAAUUUAAAUUAAAAAAAUUAAAAAUUUAUUAAUAUGAAUAGAUUUAUUAAUAAAGAUUGAAAAAAAAUUAGAUAUUCAAAUUAAUUAGAAAAAAGAAAAGAAAACGUGUAGAUAUAUGUAUUGUGUGAAAAGAAAAUAAAAAAUGAUAAAAAUAAAUAUAAUGAGAGGCGUGCAGUGCAGUGGCUAUGUACAGUCGUGGGAUUAAAAAGAAAAAAAAAUGGAGGCAUGCGGUGUCGAUGAGUUGGAAAAAGUGUUUAUGUAAAUAUAUUAUUAUUAUAAUAAUAAUGGGAAGAAGUUGGCUGUUUUAUUUUUAUGGCUUUGUGUGUAUAAUAAAAAUACGAGGGUAAUGGGAUGGUUAUGUAAUUGAAUUUAAAAAUUAAUAAAAAUAAAAAUAUUUAGUUUUAAGCUAAUAAAUGAAUUAUUAGUAAUAAUAAUAGUUUAAUGCAAUAAAUAGAAAAAAAAAUGUAUUUUUGAGAAAUUUAGUUUAAAAAGAUAAUAUAAUAAAUUAAUAGAAUUUUGGGAAUAAAUUUUGGAAAAAACCCAAUUUUUAGAAGAAUUUGAAACCCCACGUGUUAAAUUGUUAUUGAUUAAAAAGUUAAAAAUAAUAUAUGUCAUAUAACAUAGAAAAUUAUUAGGAUUCUCAAACCUUUAAAUUUAGAUAAAUAGUUAAUAGUAAUAGUUGUCUUUUUUUUGUUAAGUUUGAAAUAGGUUCUUUGGGGUCAAAUUCUUCGGGAUUAAAUACUUCAAGGUUUUUGAGUAUUUUUUUGAGGUAAGGAAAAUUAAUACAAAUUUUAUAAAAUGAAAUAAUUUUCUUUUUAUAUUGUAUUUUGAAAAUGUGUAAAAAUAUUAUUUUUAUUUCUGCAUUGAUCAAAUAUAUGUUUUACAUGAAAAAUAUGUUUGAGCAUUUUUUUGUUUAACAAAAUAAAAAUUGUGGAGAUAUGAUAUUUUGUUUUGUAAGUUUGAAUUAAUGAAAUAAAGUAUUUGAUUUUAGUUUAUAUGACCUUAAUCAACGGGUUAUAAUAAUUGACAUUUUUGGUUUUAGUCAAUGAGUUAUACUGGCUGAUAUUAUAGAACCCUAGUAAAUGGAUUAUAAUUAUUGACCUUUGAUUUUAUUCACCUCAAAUGGAACAAAUUUGAAACUAAUCACUCAUUUAUACAGUCACAUUUAACUGCGUACCAUUUGUUAUACGAUAAUUAGAGUGAAAAUAUUUGAAAUGUGUUUGAUUUGGAUUGGAUGUGAAAUGAUUUUGAUAUAUAUGAAAAUGUUUGGUUAAACACUUUAAAAUGUAUUAGCAUAUUUGGACUCAAAUAUUUUUAUGAAAAUGAUUUACAUUAUAUCUCCUAUUUGUUGGCAUGAUUGAGGAAUUGGAGUAUAGUUACAUAUAUAUACACUAGAAAAAUGAAUCAAAAGAGAUGAAAGAGAAUUAUCUAACAUCAAAUUGUAAGAAAUAAUAAAGGGAUAUACAUUCAAGUUUACAACAAUAUGCUAAUUGUGAAUCAUGGAGGCAUAUUCUAUUAAGCUAAAAUUGAGGAAUUGGAUUUCGUUGACUUGGGGGUAUGUGAUGUGGCAAGGAUUUUGUCCUAGUAUGCUAGCCUUUCUCAAACCACACAAGAUUGCACAUAGGGAUUUAUGGGACUCUCCCCAAUUUGUAUAUCAUUAAUCACAAUAGAAUACAAGGAACUUGACUCACAAGGACUCCCACAUAAACACCAUAGUUCACUGAUCUUUUGAAGGCACACAGACCCUCUAUAUAUAUAGGGUGGCAACGACCAACAAUAUACAUCAAUUUUAUUCUAGUUUUGACCCUGAGAAUUAAUUGUUAUUGUUUUGAUGAAGCCUCAUGUGACUUAGCUUUUAAAACCUAUAUAAAGUUAGGAUAAAAAUAAUUUUAGUUGAUAUAUAUUAAUGGAUCUACCUAAUUGAUAAAACUCGCGAGAUCCACAUAUAUGGAGCAAAUUUCAAUGGAUGUUAUUAGUCAAAUUUAAUGUGAUAAAGGGUAGUUGCUAAUAAUUAAAGGAGAGGCCAGUGUUAGUGUAAUAAGUUUGUGCCAUUUUGGCAAUAUUGUUUUAACAAAUAAUUGGUAAUAUGAUUAGGUUGAAUGAGUGAUCCAUAGAGUGAGAAAGAGAAGUGCUUUAGGAAGGGUGAUCAACUCAUAACUACAUGAUAUGUAUUCAUUAAUCAUAGAAAAAACAUUCACAAGUUUUAUCUUUUAAAUCUUUAUCACACAGCUUUCUAUGUGACAACAAAGGAAGUUUUUUGAAAACUUGGUACAAAGUCUCCAUCCUCAUAAUUCGACUUGGAGGGGUUUAUUGAAUUAAACUCUCCCUAAAGCGUUUCAAGUGUGCCCACAAUUUCUGACGAUCAGGAAUUUUCUUUGAUCACUGGAACUUGCUUAAAAUUCUGAAUCCAUGCAUGUAAUCGAGGGAAUGUGUUGGAAUUCAGCAGUUUUGUGCCUACGGCUUCUUCUGUGCCCUCAAACCAGUAAGCCAGCCAACCAAAUGCUAUGUCCACCAGUCCUAUAGCUUCCCCUCCGAAAAACUUCUUCUCCCCAAGGCUUUGCUCUUCUAUGAUUUUCAGUAUUUCCACUGUUUCUUUUAUGGCCUUCUCUUGCUCUUCCCCGGCAGCGGAUUUAAAGAAUUGAAAAAAAGUGGCACUCUAGAAGAAAUUAAGCAACGAGUAUAUUUAGAAUGAACUGUUGAAAAACAAGAGUAAGGUGAUCUCAAAUAUCAAUAAAAAUUGUAGUUAUUAAAUUAAUUCAUCUUUCCCCUCCAAAUUCCUUACUGCAAAACCUAGACAGGGUGAGAGAAAUUUGAUAGAGUUAAAGAAUGCUUAAAAAGUAUCAUGACUUAUUUUGUCUGAUCACUUAAAUAAAAUUCUACAUAUAGCUUAGGAAUUU